RNAcentral lists this ribosomal RNA (2901 nucleotides) under Escherichia coli P0304777.1. RNAcentral describes it as "bacterial LSU rRNA". It matches the Rfam family "Bacterial large subunit ribosomal RNA". Lineage: Bacteria; Pseudomonadati; Pseudomonadota; Gammaproteobacteria; Enterobacterales; Enterobacteriaceae. The record is from RNAcentral.
UUAAGCGACUAAGCGUACACGGUGGAUGCCCUGGCAGUCAGAGGCGAUGAAGGACGUGCUAAUCUGCGAUAAGCGUCGGUAAGGUGAUAUGAACCGUUAUAACCGGCGAUUUCCGAAUGGGGAAACCCAGUGUGUUUCGACACACUAUCAUUAACUGAAUCCAUAGGUUAAUGAGGCGAACCGGGGGAACUGAAACAUCUAAGUACCCCGAGGAAAAGAAAUCAACCGAGAUUCCCCCAGUAGCGGCGAGCGAACGGGGAGGAGCCCAGAGCCUGAAUCAGUGUGUGUGUUAGUGGAAGCGUCUGGAAAGGCGCGCGAUACAGGGUGACAGCCCCGUACACAAAAAUGCACAUGCUGUGAGCUCGAUGAGUAGGGCGGGACACGUGGUAUCCUGUCUGAAUAUGGGGGGACCAUCCUCCAAGGCUAAAUACUCCUGACUGACCGAUAGUGAACCAGUACCGUGAGGGAAAGGCGAAAAGAACCCCGGCGAGGGGAGUGAAAAAGAACCUGAAACCGUGUACGUACAAGCAGUGGGAGCACGCUUAGGCGUGUGACUGCGUACCUUUUGUAUAAUGGGUCAGCGACUUAUAUUCUGUAGCAAGGUUAACCGAAUAGGGGAGCCGAAGGGAAACCGAGUCUUAACUGGGCGUUAAGUUGCAGGGUAUAGACCCGAAACCCGGUGAUCUAGCCAUGGGCAGGUUGAAGGUUGGGUAACACUAACUGGAGGACCGAACCGACUAAUGUUGAAAAAUUAGCGGACGACUCGUGGCUGGGGGUGAAAGGCCAAUCAAACCAGGAGAUAGCUGGUUCUCCCCGAAAGCUAUUUAGGUAGCGCCUCGUGAAUUCAUCUCCGGGGGUAGAGCACUGUUUCGGCAAGGGGGUCAUCCCGACUUACCAACCCGAUGCAAACUGCGAAUACCGGAGAAUGUUAUCACGGGAGACACACGGCGGGUGCUAACGUCCGUCGUGAAGAGGGAAACAACCCAGACCGCCAGCUAAGGUCCCAAAGUCAUGGUUAAGUGGGAAACGAUGUGGGAAGGCCCAGACAGCCAGGAUGUUGGCUUAGAAGCAGCCAUCAUUUAAAGAAAGCGUAAUAGCUCACUGGUCGAGUCGGCCUGCGCGGAAGAUGUAACGGGGCUAAACCAUGCACCGAAGCUGCGGCAGCGACGCUUAUGCGUUGUUGGGUAGGGAGCGUUCUGUAAGCCUGUGAAGGUGUGCUGUGAGGCAUGCUGGAGGUAUCAGAAGUGCGAAUGCUGACAUAAGUAACGAUAAAGCGGGUGAAAAGCCCGCUCGCCGGAAGACCAAGGGUUCCUGUCCAACGUUAAUCGGGGCAGGGUGAGUCGACCCCUAAGGCGAGGCCGAAAGGCGUAGUCGAUGGGAAACAGGUUAAUAUUCCUGUACUUGGUGUUACUGCGAAGGGGGGACGGAGAAGGCUAUGUUGGCCGGGCGACGGUUGUCCCGGUUUAAGCGUGUAGGCUGGUUUUCCAGGCAAAUCCGGAAAAUCAAGGCUGAGGCGUGAUGACGAGGCACUACGGUGCUGAAGCAACAAAUGCCCUGCUUCCAGGAAAAGCCUCUAAGCAUCAGGUAACAUCAAAUCGUACCCCAAACCGACACAGGUGGUCAGGUAGAGAAUACCAAGGCGCUUGAGAGAACUCGGGUGAAGGAACUAGGCAAAAUGGUGCCGUAACUUCGGGAGAAGGCACGCUGAUAUGUAGGUGAAGUCCCUCGCGGAUGGAGCUGAAAUCAGUCGAAGAUACCAGCUGGCUGCAACUGUUUAUUAAAAACACAGCACUGUGCAAACACGAAAGUGGACGUAUACGGUGUGACGCCUGCCCGGUGCCGGAAGGUUAAUUGAUGGGGUCAGCGCAAGCGAAGCUCUUGAUCGAAGCCCCGGUAAACGGCGGCCGUAACUAUAACGGUCCUAAGGUAGCGAAAUUCCUUGUCGGGUAAGUUCCGACCUGCACGAAUGGCGUAAUGAUGGCCAGGCUGUCUCCACCCGAGACUCAGUGAAAUUGAACUCGCUGUGAAGAUGCAGUGUACCCGCGGCAAGACGGAAAGACCCCGUGAACCUUUACUAUAGCUUGACACUGAACAUUGAGCCUUGAUGUGUAGGAUAGGUGGGAGGCUUUGAAGUGUGGACGCCAGUCUGCAUGGAGCCGACCUUGAAAUACCACCCUUUAAUGUUUGAUGUUCUAACGUUGACCCGUGAUCCGGGUUGCGGACAGUGUCUGGUGGGUAGUUUGACUGGGGCGGUCUCCUCCUAAAGAGUAACGGAGGAGCACGAAGGUUGGCUAAUCCUGGUCGGACAUCAGGAGGUUAGUGUAAUGGCAUAAGCCAGCUUGACUGCGAGCGUGACGGCGCGAGCAGGUGCGAAAGCAGGUCAUAGUGAUCCGGUGGUUCUGAAUGGAAGGGCCAUCGCUCAACGGAUAAAAGGUACUCCGGGGAUAACAGGCUGAUACCGCCCAAGAGUUCAUAUCGACGGCGGUGUUUGGCACCUCGAUGUCGGCUCAUCACAUCCUGGGGCUGAAGUAGGUCCCAAGGGUAUGGCUGUUCGCCAUUUAAAGUGGUACGCGAGCUGGGUUUAGAACGUCGUGAGACAGUUCGGUCCCUAUCUGCCGUGGGCGCUGGAGAACUGAGGGGGGCUGCUCCUAGUACGAGAGGACCGGAGUGGACGCAUCACUGGUGUUCGGGUUGUCAUGCCAAUGGCACUGCCCGGUAGCUAAAUGCGGAAGAGAUAAGUGCUGAAAGCAUCUAAGCACGAAACUUGCCCCGAGAUGAGUUCUCCCUGACCCUUUAAGGGUCCUGAAGGAACGUUGAAGACGACGACGUUGAUAGGCCGGGUGUGUAAGCGCAGCGAUGCGUUGAGCUAACCGGUACUAAUGAACCGUGAGGCUUAACCUU